Molecule: long non-coding RNA, 453 nt
Filed under: Panax ginseng (ginseng)
Lineage: Eukaryota; Viridiplantae; Streptophyta; Magnoliopsida; Apiales; Araliaceae
Description: long non-coding RNA (PGIN_LNC000355)
Source: RNAcentral
AACGCAAUUUAUAACGCUUUACCCGAAGACCUAAUAUUAAUAAUAUAGAUCUCCAAUAUUAGAAUAAUAUCAUCACAGUAUAAUAUUGUUAUAUUUAUAUACACAGAAUAACCUAAACACAUAACACAUAACCCUAUCAGUCUAUACAACACAUAAGACUUAAUAUCAGGUCAAACUAUUUCAGUCUGACUUAAAACUAACAUCAUUCUUUCAUCCCGACGGUUUAGUCGGACAAUACCCGAGUUUAAGUUCAAUUAAACUCUUCCUGAACACUUAACAAUUAUCACAAAUAAUUUCUUAUCAGUCAAAACAUUUUUCCUAGGCUCGUAAUAAUUUUCGGAUAAUUAUUACCAUUUAUCAUGAUUUUCCAAUCAUUAAUAUCGUAUUUAAAUGAAUUAAAUACCGCAUAAUUCCUUAAUCAUUAAUAUUCAUUUAAUAUAAAAUAUUAAUGAU